AGUUUUCGCUUUGGCUCAGAAGCAAUAUCAUCACUGGCACGUAAAGCGGCACAAAAAGACGCAGGACGAAGGAGCUGCCGAGGGUCCUUCUUUUCAUUGUCAUAGACGACAUGUUUCGGCUGUGCGGAGUGCUACGGCAAAGUUGGUUCCACUUCAGGAAUUUAUUUACUCAAGUGUGAUGCGAUUAUCCUGAUGCACUUCUUCUUUGUCUCAAUGCGCUAGUUACGCCCGCUGGGCACCGCCCAAAAACAAAAAAAAAAAAAACAAACAAAACCGAAACAGAAUGGAAUAUUUUCGUGAGACUCUAGAUGGCGUGUGCAGCAAUAGCAAUUGAGAUGCCAGCAAAGUUUGGUAACCCUUUCUUCGUUUCGGCCUCUUAAUUAAAUGCCAGCCCGAUAGUCAUCUUCUGGCAACUGAACUUGAUUAAAGUCCAGGGGCUCUCCCUUACCAGUGCCCACCCAACUGAAACUGAAUCAAAAGGAUGACUAGUUACGACCACAAGUGUCCAGAACAGAAGGUCUUCGAGUCUUCGGUAAUCUUUCAAGUACCUUUUUUAACUUUUUUAACUUGAGCUAAAGUUGUUUUAAAAUAUAAAAUAAAUUAACGUUUCUGUAAGCUG
RNAcentral lists this long non-coding RNA (619 nucleotides) under Drosophila melanogaster (fruit fly). Its description in RNAcentral is "long non-coding RNA:CR43458 (Dmel_CR43458)". Lineage: Eukaryota; Metazoa; Arthropoda; Insecta; Diptera; Drosophilidae. The record is from RNAcentral.